UGUAUAAUAGCAGCAGGCCAUAAAAGAGACCCAGUUUGUGAAUAUUUUAAUGAAGUGCCUCUACCUGUGGGUAAGACAGGCAUGCAUGCAAAAUGCAAACAGUGCAACAAAGAAAUGCAAGUUCUGGCUGCCCGAAUGAAACAAUAUCAUGAGAAGUGUUCCUUCUCAGGAGGAAGCUGCGUUGUAAAUGAUGAAAGGAACAUGUCUGAAUAUGCAGGAACUUCAGGAGAAUCCAUCCUCAACAUACAGGAUUCUGAAGCCUAUCCAGCUUCAAGAUCACCAUAAUUUUCUAUAGUUUCAGAGUUAUCUGCCAGUGAUAGUGUUUCAGUCACAUCAUGUUUGUCACAUAGCCAUAGUAUAUAACCUGUAGCAAAAAGAAAAAAAAAAUCUCCAUCAUCCAGAAACCAUCAUAGAUAAGUUUGUGAUAAGAACCAGCAGAUUACAAAA
Dermochelys coriacea (leatherback sea turtle) is the source of this 447-nucleotide long non-coding RNA. RefSeq lists it as uncharacterized. The transcript has 2 exons. The record is from RefSeq and is a predicted model, not a curated record. Lineage: Eukaryota; Metazoa; Chordata; Testudines; Dermochelyidae.